AAAUAACAAAACGCAUCAAAAACGAAUGGACAAGAACUGUCAUAUUCCUGACUUGGUACAGGCAUUUUCAAAUGUAGAAAAUGGUGGAUUGAACCUGGUUUUAUAGCUAGCUAAACCUCUCACUUGUAUGACAGUCGCAUCAAAUUCCAUUGUAUAGUCACCGAUGCGUGAACAAAACAAACAGACACAAUAGGUAAAAAUGUCAAAAAUAGGG
RNAcentral lists this long non-coding RNA (214 nucleotides) under Mytilus galloprovincialis (Mediterranean mussel). The record is from RNAcentral. Lineage: Eukaryota; Metazoa; Mollusca; Bivalvia; Mytilida; Mytilidae.